Ribosomal RNA from Larimichthys crocea (large yellow croaker), 119 nucleotides. NCBI's taxonomy places the organism in Eukaryota, Metazoa, Chordata, Actinopteri, Sciaenidae. The record is from Ensembl.
GCUUACGGCCAUACCACCCUGAAUGCGCCCUAUCUCGUCUGAUCUCGGAAGCUAAGCAGGGUCAGGCCAGGUUAGUACUUCGAUGGGACACCGCCUGGGAAUACCAGGUGCUGUAAGUU